RNAcentral lists this ribosomal RNA (460 nucleotides) under uncultured bacterium. RNAcentral describes it as "partial 16S ribosomal RNA". It matches the Rfam family "Bacterial small subunit ribosomal RNA", at positions 338 to 795 of the family's 1533-position model. The record is from RNAcentral.
CCUACGGGUGGCAGCAGUGAGGAAUAUUGGUCAAUGGACGUAAGUCUGAACCAGCCAUGCCGCGUGCAGGAAGAAGGCUCUAUGAGUCGUAAACCGCUUUUGUAAGAGGGUAAACGCAGAUACGCGUCUCUGUCUGAAAGUACCGUACGAAUAAGGAUCGGCUAACUCCGUGCCAGCAGCCGCGGUAAUACGGAGGAUUCAAGCGUUAUCCGGAUUUAUUGGGUUUAAAGGGUGCGUAGGCGGUCGUAUAAGUUAGAGGUGAAAGCCCGAGGCUCAACUUCGGAAUUGCCUCUGAUACUGGUCGGCUAGAGAGUAGUUGCGGUAGGCGGAAUGUGUGGUGUAGCGGUGAAAUGCUUAGAGAUCAUACAGAACACCGAUUGCGAAGGCAGCUUGCCAAGCUACUUCUGACGUUGAGGCACGAAAGCGUGGGGAUCAAACAGGAUUAGAUACCCUUGUAGUC